CACGUAGGGGCCAAGCGUUGUCCGGAUUUAUUGGGCGUAAAGAGCUCGUAGGCGGCUCGGUAAGUCGGGUGUGAAACCUCCAGGCUCAACCUGGAGACGCCACCCGAUACUGCUGUGGCUAGAGUCCGGUAGGGGAGCGUGGAAUUCCUGGUGUAGCGGUGAAAUGCGCAGAUAUCUGGAGGAACACCGGUGGCGAAGGCGGCAUCCUGGACCAACACUGACGCUGAGGAGCGAAAGCCAGGGGAGCAAACGGG
RNAcentral lists this ribosomal RNA (254 nucleotides) under uncultured bacterium. RNAcentral's name for it is "partial 16S ribosomal RNA". It matches the Rfam family "Bacterial small subunit ribosomal RNA", at positions 524 to 776 of the family's 1533-position model. The record is from RNAcentral.